RNAcentral lists this unclassified non-coding RNA (311 nucleotides) under Hevea brasiliensis (rubber tree). The record is from RNAcentral. Lineage: Eukaryota; Viridiplantae; Streptophyta; Magnoliopsida; Malpighiales; Euphorbiaceae.
GUAAAAUUUGGAUUGCAUUGAAUAGAAAAUUUCUCAAAUCAUCCGCCAUUCAUUUUGGUGCAAAUAUUGAAGAAUAAAAUAGAAAAAGUACCCAAAAAAAAAAAAGUUAAUACAUAUCACUCGAUUUGUGCUUUGCCGAUCAACGGUCAACAUCAAAUAAAUCGUCUCACUUGAUCCGACGGCAGAGAGUGAUCCCAUCACCUACCGGAAGCAUGCAAAUCUCAAUCCUGGGAUCGGCUGGUAGGGCCUUGUUGAGCUUCAUCACAAAGUCUCUGUAGUACUUGACAUACUUCCUUAAGGGUGCAUCAGGU